This 146-nucleotide small RNA is filed under the name Gammaproteobacteria bacterium. Its description in RNAcentral is "RtT sRNA". It matches the Rfam family "RtT RNA". Rfam says of the family: This family represents a bacterial cis-regulatory element known as RtT RNA. The exact function of RtT is unknown although it is thought that it may be involved in changing the cellular response in relation to amino acid starvation. Lineage: Bacteria; Pseudomonadati; Pseudomonadota; Gammaproteobacteria. The record is from RNAcentral.
UUUAUUUGUGGUUUGGGAGGAUUUGAUGAGAACCCUCGGGUUCGAGCCGAGUACUGCGAAGCCGUACGAGACAACGUCGUCGCGCAGCGACGGCGGCCCCGAAGGGGUGAGGGCUGCAAGCCCGAGUCAUCCCUCCCUCUCCGCCA